GGAAGGGCCAUAGCUCAGUGGCAGAACAGCUGCUUUGCAUGCAGAAGGUCUUGGGAUCAAUCCCUGGCACCUCCA
Podarcis lilfordi (Lilford's wall lizard) is the source of this 75-nucleotide non-coding RNA. The record is from the annotation of a GenBank genome assembly. Lineage: Eukaryota; Metazoa; Chordata; Lepidosauria; Squamata; Lacertidae.